This 492-nucleotide ribosomal RNA is filed under the name uncultured bacterium. Its description in RNAcentral is "partial 16S ribosomal RNA". It matches the Rfam family "Bacterial small subunit ribosomal RNA", at positions 29 to 507 of the family's 1533-position model. The record is from RNAcentral.
AGUGAACGCUGGCGGUAGGCCUAACACAUGCAAGUCGAACGGCAGCACAGUAAGAGCUUGCUCUUACGGGUGGCGAGUGGCGGACGGGUGAGGAAUACAUCGGAAUCUACUUUUUCGGGGGGGUUAACGUAGGGAAACUUACGCUAAUACCGCAUACGACCUACGGGUGAAAGCAGGGGAUCUUCGGACCUUGCGCGAUUGAAUGAGCCGAUGUCGGAUUAGCUAGUUGGCGGGGUAAAGGCCCACCAAGGCGACGAUCCGUAGCUGGUCUGAGUGGAUGAUCAGCCACACUGGAACUGAGACACGGUCCAGACGCCUACGGGAGGCAGCAGUGGGGAAUAUUGGACAAAGGGCGCAAGCCUGAUCCAGCCAUACCGCGUGGGUGAAGAAGGCCUUCGGGUUGUAAAGCCCUUUUGUUGGGAAAGAAAAGCAGCAGGUUAAUACCCCGCUGUUCUGACGGUACCCAAAGAAUAAGCACCGGCUAACUUCGUG